Molecule: ribosomal RNA, 253 nt
Filed under: uncultured bacterium
Lineage: Bacteria
Description: partial 16S ribosomal RNA
Rfam family: Bacterial small subunit ribosomal RNA
Source: RNAcentral
UACGGAGGGGGCGAGCGUUAUUCGGAAUUAUUGGGCGUAAAGGGCGCGUAGGCGGCUUGACAAGUCAAAGGUGAAAUCCCUCGGCUCAACUGAGGAACUGCCUUUGAAACUGUCUGGCUUGAGGCCGGGAGAGGGUAGCGGAAUUCCCAGUGUAGCGGUGAAAUGCGUAGAUACUGGGAGGAACACCGGUGGCGAAGGCGGCUACCUGGACCGGUUCUGACGCUGAUGCGCGAAAGCGUGGGUAGCAAACAGG